UCAACUUGAGAGUUUGAUCCUGGCUCAGAACGAACGCUGGCGGCAGGCUUAACACAUGCAAGUCGAGCGCCUCGCA
Molecule: ribosomal RNA, 76 nt
Filed under: Gillisella vitis
Lineage: Bacteria; Pseudomonadati; Pseudomonadota; Alphaproteobacteria; Hyphomicrobiales; Rhizobiaceae
Description: Agrobacterium vitis partial 16S ribosomal RNA
Rfam family: Bacterial small subunit ribosomal RNA
Source: RNAcentral